This 253-nucleotide ribosomal RNA is filed under the name uncultured bacterium. RNAcentral describes it as "partial 16S ribosomal RNA". It matches the Rfam family "Bacterial small subunit ribosomal RNA", at positions 524 to 776 of the family's 1533-position model. The record is from RNAcentral.
UACGAAGGGGGCUAGCGUUGUUCGGAAUUACUGGGCGUAAAGCGCGCGCAGGCGGUUUUUCAAGUCAGUGGUGAAAGCCUGGAGCUCAACUCCGGAACUGCCAUUGAAACUGUAAAACUUGAGGACGAGAGAGGUGAGUGGAAUUCCCAGUGUAGAGGUGAAAUUCGUAGAUAUUGGGAAGAACACCGGUGGCGAAGGCGGCUCACUGGCUCGUAUCUGACGCUCAGGCGCGACAGCGUGGGGAUCAAACAGG